GACGAAGGUGGCUAGCGUUGUUCGGUGUCACUGGGCUUAAAGAGUGUGUAGGCGGAUUAGUAAGCGCUUUGUGAAAUACCUCGGCUUAACCGAGGAAUUGCUUGGCGAACUGCUUUUCUUGAGGCAAGUAGGGGUGCAUGGAACUCUUGGUGGAGCGGUGGAAUGCGUAGAUAUCAAGAGGAACGCCGGUGGAGAAAUCGGUGCACUGGGCUUGUUCUGACGCUGAGACACGAAAGCGUGGGGAGCGAACGGGAUUAGAUACCCCCGUA
Molecule: ribosomal RNA, 269 nt
Filed under: uncultured prokaryote
Description: partial 16S ribosomal RNA
Rfam family: Bacterial small subunit ribosomal RNA
Source: RNAcentral